Molecule: unclassified non-coding RNA, 338 nt
Filed under: soil metagenome
Description: partial contains 5.8S ribosomal RNA, internal transcribed spacer 2, and large subunit ribosomal RNA
Rfam family: 5.8S ribosomal RNA (bases 1-120)
Source: RNAcentral
GAUGAAGAACGUAGCGAAAUGCGACACGUAGUGUGAAUUGCAGAAUUCAGUGAAUCAUCGAAUCUUUGAACGCACAUUGCGCCCUUUGGUAUUCCAAAGGGCAUGCCUGUUCGAGCGUCAUUUGUACCCUCAAGCUUUGCUUGGUGUUGGGCGUCUUGUCUCCAGUCCGCUGGAGACUCGCCUUAAAGUCAUUGGCAGCCGGCCUACUGGUUUCGGAGCGCAGCACAAGUCGCACUCUUUUCCAGCCAAGGUCAGUGUCCAACAAGCCUUUUUUCAACUUUUGACCUCGGAUCAGGUAGGGAUACCCGCUGAACUUAAGCAUAUCAAUAAGCGGAGGA